UACGUAGGGGGCAAGCGUUGUCCGGAUUUAUUGGGCGUAAAGAGCGUGUAGGCGGUUCGGUAGGUCCGUUGUGAAAACUCGAGGCUCAACCUCGAGACGCCGAUGGAAACCCUCGAACUAGAGUCCGGAAGAGGAGAAUGGAAUUCCUGGUGUAGCGGUGAAAUGCGCAGAUAUCAGGAAGAACACCCGUGGCUAAGGCGGUUCUCUAGUACGGUACUUACGCUGAGACGCGAAAGCGUGGGGAGCGAACAGG
Molecule: ribosomal RNA, 253 nt
Filed under: uncultured bacterium
Lineage: Bacteria
Description: partial 16S ribosomal RNA
Rfam family: Bacterial small subunit ribosomal RNA
Source: RNAcentral